GGGCGUUUAGCUCAGUUGGUAUAGAGUACCUGCCUUACAAGCAGGAUGUCGUAGGUUCGAUCCCUACAACGCCCA
RNAcentral lists this transfer RNA (75 nucleotides) under Fibrobacterota bacterium. RNAcentral's name for it is "Fibrobacteres bacterium (soil metagenome) tRNA-Val". It matches the Rfam family "tRNA". Rfam says of the family: Transfer RNA (tRNA) molecules are approximately 80 nucleotides in length. The record is from RNAcentral. Lineage: Bacteria; Pseudomonadati; Fibrobacterota.